UGGGGAGAUACCAGAAAAGAAGCCUUCUUAUUCCAGAUUCAGUGGCUGCAGAUUUCAAGCGUUUGCAGGAUGCUGCUACAACCCCCCUCAAGGUUUUACAGUCCAUUCAUUGCACCGCUUAGACGUGUCCGCAGGAGAGGAGGAGGUGUGAGAGAUGGAAGAUCUGAUCAGCUUUUGGGGCCACGCAGACCUGGUUGUGAACGCCAGCGCUGCUGUGUGCUGACUGCAGCCUUGGGCAGGCCAUCUUCUGGGGCACGUUUCCUCUUCCUUUAAAAAGUGGAUAUUUUUCUCCCAGCAAUUGGCCCAACAGAAUUGCUUGCACAAAGGUGUGUGUACAUUGUUUGUACUAGCAACGACAACAAAAAAGAGACACGAUGUAGACCAUUAAUAGAGGACUGAUGUUAUUUUGGCAUAUCUGUAUAAUGAAAUACUAUGCGGGCAUCAAAAAGAAAAAGAUAGAUCUAUGUGAGUGGAUGUGAGAAGUCCUUGAUAUUUUACCAAGAGGAACAAAUUGAUUAACCGUAAGCACACUACAAAAAUCUAAGCGCGGACAGACCUGUGUCUAUUGCAGUCAUGCAGCGCACACACUAUGAGCAUUUAUGAAAGUUUGAAACGUUAAGCUGUAAACAAUGGUUAACCAAAACCUGGUCUGUUCCACUAAUUCUCAUUGUCUAAAAUAAGACAUUUAAAUUUCUGAUUUGUUCAAAUCAGGAUCCAAACAAGACUCCCACACCGCAUGUGGGUGAUGCUUCUGUCUCUUCUGAUUUACAGCAAUUCCUACAGCGUUUACUUGUUGAAAAACCCAAUUAUUUGUCCCGGGGACUUUGCUGCAUUCUGGAUUGGGUUGUCCUUGUCGGUAAAGGGUGAUGAGGAUUUUUAGGCUGGUUACUUUUAAAACUACAGAUAAGAAGCAGGCUCCAAGGAGUGGAAUUUGCUUGCCCUUUGAUCAGAGACAGUUGCAUUUGUGAAGGAAAUCUCCAUGCCUUCCUCUCUGCGCCAGGAGGAAGGGGAGAUGGGCUUAUCUCUGGAAACUCUUAAUGGGGAAGGCAAGAACUUAAGUUGUUUACUGUCUGGCAACCUCAUGUAACUGACCCCCCACCCCAAAAUCCUCCUUUGUCUUUAGUUGAAGAUAAUAUUUG
This 1139-nucleotide long non-coding RNA is filed under the name Equus caballus (horse). RNAcentral describes it as "lncRNA (ENSECAG00000059995.1)". Lineage: Eukaryota; Metazoa; Chordata; Mammalia; Perissodactyla; Equidae. The record is from RNAcentral.